This 419-nucleotide ribosomal RNA is filed under the name uncultured bacterium. RNAcentral's name for it is "bacterial SSU rRNA". It matches the Rfam family "Bacterial small subunit ribosomal RNA", at positions 358 to 774 of the family's 1533-position model. The record is from RNAcentral.
GGAAUAUUGGUCAAUGGAGGGAACUCUGAACCAGCCAUGCCGCGUGAGGGAGGAAGGCCCUAUGGGUUGUAAACCUCUUUUGCCUGGGGGCAAUAAGGGCGGUGCGCCGUCCGAUGAGAGUACCAGGCGAAUAAGCAUCGGCUAACUCCGUGCCAGCAGCCGCGGUAAUACGGAGGAUGCGAGCGUUAUCCGGAUUUAUUGGGUUUAAAGGGUGCGCAGGCGGCGCGUUAAGUCAGCGGUGAAAUGUCCCGGCUCAACCGGGGAGCUGCCGUUGAUACUGGCGUGCUAGAGUGCGAGCGGCGCCGGCGGAAUGAGUGGUGUAGCGGUGAUAUGCAUAGAUAUCACUCAGAACACCGAUCGCGAAGGCAGCUGGCGAGGACGCUACUGACGCUGAGGCACGAAAGCGUGGGGAUCAAACA